ACCGAUAUAGCUCAGCGGUAGAGCAGCGCCCUUACAAGGCGACGGUCACUGGUUCAAUCCCAGUUGUCGGUA
RNAcentral lists this transfer RNA (72 nucleotides) under Spirochaetota bacterium. RNAcentral's name for it is "Spirochaetes bacterium tRNA-Val". It matches the Rfam family "tRNA". From Rfam's summary of the family: Transfer RNA (tRNA) molecules are approximately 80 nucleotides in length. Lineage: Bacteria; Pseudomonadati; Spirochaetota. The record is from RNAcentral.